AAGUCGUAACAAGGUAUCUGUAGGUGAACCUGCAGAUGGAUCAUUACUGUAUAAUGUGAUGCGUUGGAGGAUCAUUUUGUGUUGUUUUACACACGCUUUAUGCAUUCGAAGACCAUCAUUAUUAAACCCUGUUAACGCGGAUGCCCAAUCUGUAAUCAUUACGGAGCGGGUGUUUUAUUUUAAACCUUUAACAAAAUAUAAACCUAUCACAACAUAUAACACAAAACUUAUAUAACCUUUAACAAUGGAUCUCUUGGUUCCU
This 262-nucleotide unclassified non-coding RNA is filed under the name fungal sp. RNAcentral's name for it is "partial internal transcribed spacer region". The stretch from base 1 to 46 matches the Rfam family "Eukaryotic small subunit ribosomal RNA", at positions 1786 to 1831 of the family's 1831-position model. Lineage: Eukaryota; Fungi. The record is from RNAcentral.